AACACAAGGGUUGCGACCGUCUGUGUGGCAGGCCCUUCACGUGUAAAACGUGGUGUGCGUGAAUGGCUCACACGAUUACGGAGGCUGGGAGUCCUGCAUUCUGUCUGCAAACUGCAGACCCAGGGAAGUCGGUGGGGUGGCUCUCCGAACCGGAGGGCUGAUGGUGCACGUUCCCGUCCCGAGGCGGGAGUGGACGGUCCCAGCUCAGCAGGCAAGCAGAGAGAAGCCGGUCCUGAGAUGAAGGUCCACGGAAGGAUCGACGAAGAAGAACUCCAGGAAAGACCGUGGCGGGAUGGAGAAGAAUCGAGAACAGGGGACAAUUUGGGGCCAGUCCCCAGCGUGGCGGUGGGGAGCUUUCAGCCCGACCCUCGGGGGACCCAGGCAGAUUCCGCACCUCCACGAGCCUUGCCGGCCAAGGCCACGGGUGAGGGAGGGAGCGGAGACCCAGAUCCCCGGCCCCUCCUGUGCUCUGUGCCUCCGGCAAAGCAGCUCUCGCAGCCUGAGUUGCCCACAGGAGGUGUUGGCCACGGGAACAGCACGGAGAGCCCAGAGCAGGAAGGAGAAACGGGAAUGCAGCCCAAGGGCACCUGGCCAGACCCUCCACACUCUAGAACCUCCCAAGACCUUCAGCGCGGCAGGACCCCCAUCAUCUGGGGACCCGCUGCCCAGGGCGAGCCGUGGAGGCUCCUCUGUGCUUAUUAUGCACGAGGCCCCUGCACUCCUCUGAGCCUCACUCAGAUCCGAGAGCUGGUGGCUCAUUCACCCCCGUGAGUGUCGCUCCCUGGGGCACCAAUGUCCACACCGGCGCUGUGCCCCUUCAGAUGAACUCAGCUUCUUACUGUCAAACGUCUCUUGAUCUCCGCACAGAGCAAUAAAACCUCUCCUCCUGGCAGACCACGCCACGGACAAGAGCAGUGUCCUUUUGUGAUGUCACCCAGCUGGGCAACGGAGUGGCUGGGCUGCCUCUGCCCGACCCUGUCCCUGCAGGUAGCUGGCAUUGGACCCGGGCCCAGACUCCGCAACCCCCCCAACUUCCCCCAAUCUGCCAGGCAGCCUGUCACCGCCCUCAUUGUGUGCCUUCAUUAGCGUUCAGCCCCUUGAGUCUGUCUCCUCCUUCCCUAUUUGCUGCUGGACUGUGGGUCUCGGGUGGUCAGGGGGCAGGAGAGCGUUGGGGACAGGCACAGGCCUCCCACCCGCCUCCGGUGCCUACGAUCCCUGGAAAUUUAACAGCCAAGGGAGACGUUCCAAGUCCGGCGGAUGCCACACCGAUUCGGGGCAGGAAGCCCGCCGCUGCUGCUGGGGUCGCGGCGCCAGAUGGGGACACGUGCUGGAGAGACCCGGCAGUGCGAUCAUACCCUGAGUGACCCUAAAAAAGGAGGAGGACGCUCAACAAUCGGGCCGCGCCCCGCAGCGGGCACCAGACUUGCCGCCAGUCCUCCGCCCGUGGCCAAGCCCUCCGUCACAGACCCGUCGGACCACGGCCUGUCCUGCAGCCCGCGCAGGAAGGGAGCCCACUCGCCUCCCAUGGUGCACGGUGACCACGGAAGAGGGUACACGACACGACGUGCCAGGGCCGAGAAGGGAGGGCAGGACCCACGCUCUAAAACCACAGCCCUGUUGUAGGAGCCGGGUGGUAUAUUUAGCAAAGCAGGAUGUUUGUGGGCAAAUCAACAUUUUGCUGUAAAUAAAAUUUUGAGCUGAGGAUUGCAGAAA
Molecule: long non-coding RNA, 1713 nt
Organism: Acinonyx jubatus (cheetah)
Lineage: Eukaryota; Metazoa; Chordata; Mammalia; Carnivora; Felidae
Exons: 2
Source: RefSeq, a predicted model, not a curated record